UCUGUAAAAGCAGUGCGCAGCAGGAUUAAAAAAAAGAGGGAUGUUGCUUAGUUAAAUGCGCACGGCAGGAUGCAGAAACAGAGAAAAAAAAAAAAGUACGGCGGCUGGCUGUGUACAUGCAGCAGUCUGCGGUUCUCUCCAGCAGCACCGACAUCAAAAAGUGUCUGAAAGUGUGCCAUUCCUUUGAGGCAUAAUCUUAGUAGUAUUUACCUAUUGGUUUUUGGUAUGCCGCUGCCGCUCUACUGGUUCUGAUAAACGGUUGAGCCUACUCACCUUGUGCUCUCCAGCCGCUUUUCACUAUAGAGUAAGAUACCAAAGCUUCAGGAGAUCCAGGUACUCGUGAGGUGCAGGUUAAAAUGAAGAUUAAUACACGUUAGUUAACACUGGUGCUGCGUUGGUCCCCGGUUUCUGAAGUCCACUUAUUCUGUCUGAGGUCGUUUUAAAGCAAUUGGUCGAUGAGGAAAUUGGUGCCACAGGCUCUGAAUAUCCUAUUGGCUGUUUGCUUAACUAAUAAUAACCACCCUCCGUUUUGUUCCACCAUCAAAAAAGUCUUAUCAUAUAUGUAAUCCAAAGCCCAUUUCCCAACUGUUCAAAUCAACCUCUCGAUCAAUAUCACUUUUAAUCUUUUGGAACGGUGAAAGAAAUGUAAAUACAGGUCAGCUCAUCAUGAUGUCAUACAGCAAUGACGGUCUUCAGUCUGACAUGUGGCCAUCAAAGAAUUUGCAUUCAUAUGACUGUGCCCUUUAGCCCAAUUGGCAUGUCACUCUUUUCCAAACAAGUACAGACAAUGUGCAAUGCAAAUGCAAUUUUGUUGUUUUGCAAGCUUCAUUUAAUUUCAUAACAUGUCUAGUCUAGGUUGUAAACUGUGGCUAAAAUGUCCCUUCAGGGAAUUUUUCCAGCAGAAUACAGUAAAAA
This is a long non-coding RNA of Etheostoma cragini (Arkansas darter), 915 nucleotides long. RefSeq lists it as uncharacterized. The record is from RefSeq and is a predicted model, not a curated record. Lineage: Eukaryota; Metazoa; Chordata; Actinopteri; Perciformes; Percidae. The transcript is spliced from 2 exons.